GGGCCGUUAGCUCAGUCGGUAGAGCAGCUGACUUUUAAUCAGUUGGUCACAGGUUCAAAUCCUGUACGGCCCACCA
RNAcentral lists this transfer RNA (76 nucleotides) under Gammaproteobacteria bacterium. RNAcentral's name for it is "tRNA-Lys". It matches the Rfam family "tRNA". Rfam says of the family: Transfer RNA (tRNA) molecules are approximately 80 nucleotides in length. Their secondary structure includes four short double-helical elements and three loops (D, anti-codon, and T loops). Lineage: Bacteria; Pseudomonadati; Pseudomonadota; Gammaproteobacteria. The record is from RNAcentral.